GGCAGCCGCGGCUGUGGCCGCGCGGGCCGGGGAGGAGACGCAGCGCGCGGCGGCGCUGGAGGGGCGACGAGGGCGGUAUAGCUGCCCUGGAGGGGCCGGCCCUCGGGUGUGACAGUCCCUGCCUGGGAAAGCGAAGGAUGGCGGAGUCGAGACCCGUUCCCGGAGCUUCAAGGGGGCAGGGAGGAAGGGAACAGAUAAAACCCACAGAGAAAACUGCCGUCUAACACCAGAGAAUGCUCUCGUGCUUGCAGUGCCCCGGAUGAUAACGAGGAAGAUGUCAUGCAGAACUUUGACUCUCUCUCACCUCUUACGGACUUCUGCUGACCAUAGAAGGGCAGUUUGGGUCGUUACGUCCCUAAAUUCCAAAUUAAGAGCAAUUUCUCAAAGUGGAGUCCAGUUUCUAAGAUCCCCUGGAUUUCUGGACUGCUCUUAAAAGCUUCCUUCAGGACUUUUAACCUUGUCUUCAUGAAGGGAAACAGACCACUAAGGGCAAACUCACCACCUGGGCAAUGCCAAUGGGAAUGGAAGAUUUAAGAACAAGUCUUGGGGGACGGGGCAAAGACAGACUGUUAGGAAGGAAGCUAACACAUAUUAAUAACUUUAUGUUUGAGUCUCUGUGCUGAGCAUUGACAUAAUUGCUGUUAUUAACCCCAUUUUACAGCGGAAGAAACUGAGACUUAAGAAGUUAAGAAACCUACCCAAGGUCACCCAACUAGAAAGAUACAUGGAGAGAAAUGAGAAAACUGCACCAUAACUCAGAAAAGGGAAAGACCAGGAGGACACACCCAGGGAGAACUUCCUGAGUCUUUUUCUCACCCCAGCCCCCUUCCACAAAUUUGCCUUGGUUUCUUCUUGAUUGUGUAUAUGGUAUGAAUUGUAGUAUUUAUUUCAGGCAUUUAAGUCCUGAUUACCCAACCGAAACAUGAGGUAAGAACUCUGUCGUCUGCUUCUCUUGCAUCUCCCCUCACGUCCACACACAGUGCUGAAGUCAUUAGCCCAGGAAAUGCUCCUGAAUCCUGGUCAUUACACUUCCAUUUCAUGCUCUGCUUGGGGCAAAUGCUCUGGAAAUGGGCUUGCAUCUAAUGGGCUUGUCUGUCUUUUCAAGUCAUUUGGAGAUAUGUGAGCCAAGUCAAUUUAAUCUAAAGGACUGAGAGGAGUGAGGUGUACAUGUUUAUUUAAAUGCUAGGCACCAAAGAAGUAAACCUCAGAGAAAGCAGAAGCCUGGGCCUCCUGAGGGAUGCUCCUGGAAACAUGGCCUUCACUUAACCAGUGUCAGAGCAAACACCUGGAGGGGGUGAGUGGGGCCUGUUUCGUACCAGCUACUUGGACCAUCAGGCACAUGGCCACAGUCUUCAUGCCUGAUUAUUUGCGAGAACUCAAUAUAUGAUAAAGAAAGCAUCAAAAAUCAAUGGGGAAACAUAAGAUUAUUCAAGAAAUGAUGUUGAAAUAAAUACUAUGUGCAGAAGUUUAGUUUGGCACAGUUUUAGGAUAUUACAUUAUAUUUUAAGAUAAAAAUAAAUUGAGGUGAAUGUAUUGUUAUUCAACAUAAAAAAAGAAAAUGGAAUUUAGUAAUUAACUCUAUGAAUAAGGGAUUUCUUACCUUAGAAAUACGUAUGCAUUAAUAUAAAAACAUAAAGCAAAUAUCUUAAAUUUAAUUCAUACAACAUUAAAUUUUUAUGUCAAAAUUCUAAUAAACAAAAGUUAAAAGAAAACAAAAUGGGAAAACUAUCUGCAACAAAUAUUAUAGGCAAAAGAUGAAUUAUAGGCAAGAAAUAAAAGUAAUACAAUGGUGAGAUAUCAUUUUUCAGGUAUCAGAUUAGCAAAAAACAUUUUUAAUUAUGAUAACCGAUGCUGACAGUAAACAGCUAAUCUCAUGUCUUAUACAACCAUUUUAACUGGCAAUAUGGAACUAUGGAAUAUAUCCUAAGGAAAUAAUCCUACAUAUGAAACUACUUUAUUCACAAUUACGUUUAUCAAAGUAUUAAUAAUAGUAAACAUUGGAAGCAAAGUUUCUAAAUAUUGAAAAAACAAAUUAAUGAUGUACACUGUAGCAGCUGACAUGGUAUGUAGCCAAUGAUUCUUAUUAAGACUAUGUAAUAAUAUAUAAAAUGAUUUAUUUCAUGAUUUAAAAAGCAGGAUAAAAGUUCUAUAUUGAGCAUGGACACUAAAACGUAGGAAAAAAAAUCCUAGAAAAAAAAACUUGCGUGAUAAAACUAUGGGUCAUUUCUUCUACUUUCCUAAUGUUUUAGACGGCAUGUAUUAUUUUUUAAAUGAAAAAGGAAGACAUACAGCAAUAUAUAACACUUGCUUUUAUAUGGAAAAAUUCCAAAAGAAGACAUCAUGAGAAAGAUUUUCAAACAAAGUCUAAGUUGAUAUAGUAGAGUGAAUGCAGAACAGUAGAAAACGGGAUCAUCAGAUUCGUCGGUGCAGAAGACGUGCUAGGAAACUGUUUUUUGAUUUUGUUGUUUUAAUUGAUCUUUGCCUAUUAAUGCGUAUUUUUAAGAAAAUGUUGAUCAUGUUCUUUGCAGUGAAAUCAUAAGCAGAGCACAUAAGCUUCGUGGCAUUUCAGUAAUUCAGUUGUUGCUGGGCCAGAAUCUCCCGGCAUCAUUCAGAACAUCUUAGGACGAAAAGCUGCUAUGAGGAAAUUCAAGAAGCACGUAGAAUUCGAAUCCAUCCUUCUUCUUGGCAGAAACAGAAUUAAAACUGGAAUGUAGCUCUCCAUGGCAACCUUAUCAGUGUUUGGGGUCUGCUUAUUUCUGGGUACCAUGUUCCAGGAAAGUGUUGCAACUAAACUUGUUACCAUUUUUGCCUUAGCUAUGGGCCUCAGGCUAAGCAAGGAUUUGGCCACACUCACUGUUAAAAUCUCUGCUUAUCAAACUGGAGCAGGCAUGAUAUUG
Long non-coding RNA from Equus caballus (horse), 2897 nucleotides. NCBI's taxonomy places the organism in Eukaryota, Metazoa, Chordata, Mammalia, Perissodactyla, Equidae. The record is from Ensembl.